AUGGAUCCCAUGAAGUUGGGCUCAAGCACAAGAUCGAUGUUUCUUUUCUUGCUGUUCAUAUUGGAGCAGCGUCCAAAGGGGAGGACGACCAUGCUGCAAGCUCGUGCACCCACUGCGUUACCAUGGUGUGCGACGGCGGAGACCGGUGCCGGCUGGGGCAGCGAUGCAGGAAACGGCACACCUCGUUGCUGGAACCGGCCGACUGAAAAGCUGCACCCGGCAUCCGAUGAUGCUGGAACCAGUAAUAAUUUUUGCUACCACAGGCGUUUGGUUUUGCUGGAACCACCGCCAAAUUUGCAAGUUUGCUACUACUAA
RNAcentral lists this ribosomal RNA (315 nucleotides) under Triticum aestivum (bread wheat). Its description in RNAcentral is "partial small subunit ribosomal RNA". The record is from RNAcentral. Lineage: Eukaryota; Viridiplantae; Streptophyta; Magnoliopsida; Poales; Poaceae.